This 449-nucleotide ribosomal RNA is filed under the name uncultured bacterium. RNAcentral's name for it is "partial 16S ribosomal RNA". It matches the Rfam family "Bacterial small subunit ribosomal RNA", at positions 29 to 523 of the family's 1533-position model. The record is from RNAcentral.
AGCGAACAUUGGCGGUAGGCUUAACACAUGCAAGUCGAGCGCGGCGUAAUAGUCGAGCGGCGAACGGGUGAGUAACACAUGGGAAUCUACCUCGAAGUGGGGGAUAACGUCCAGAAAUGGACGCUAAUACCGCAUAAUCCAUAUUGGGAAAGCGCGCUGCGCUUUGAGAUGAGCCCAUGGCUGAUUAGCUAGUUGGUGGGGUAACGGCUGACCAAGGCGACGAUCAGUAGCUGGUCUGAGAGGAUGAUCAGCCACACUGGAAGUGAGACACGGUCAAGACUCCUACGGGAGGCAGCAGUGGGGAAUCUUGCGCAAUGGGGGCAACCCUGACGCAGCCAUACCGCGUGUGUGAUGAAGGUCUUCGGAUUGUAAAGCACCUUCAGUAGGGACGACGAUGACGGUACCUACAGAAGAAGUCACGGCUAACUUCGUGCCAGCCGCCGCCGUAA